Molecule: ribosomal RNA, 468 nt
Filed under: uncultured bacterium
Lineage: Bacteria
Description: partial 16S ribosomal RNA
Rfam family: Bacterial small subunit ribosomal RNA
Source: RNAcentral
GACGAACGCUGGCGGCGUGCUUAACACAUGCAAGUCGAACGGAAAGGCCCUGCUUUUGUGGGGUGCUCGAGUGGCGAACGGGUGAGUAACACGUGAGCAGCCUGCUCUUGACUUUGGGAUAACUUCAGGAAACUGGGGCUACUACCGGAUAGCAGCUCCUGCUGCAUGGUGGGGGUUGGAAAGUUUCGGCGGUUGGGGAUGGACUCGCGGCUUAUCAGCUUGUUGGUGGGGUAGUGGCUUACCAAGGCUUUGACGGGUAGCCGGCCUGAGAGGGUGACCGGCCACAUUGGGACUGAGAUACGGCCCAGACUCCUACGGGAGGCAGCAGUGGGGAAUAUUGCACAAUGGGCGGAAGCCGGAUGCAGCAACGCCGCGUGCGGGAUGACGGCCUUCGGGUUGUAAACCGCUUUCGCCUGUGACGAAGCGUGAGUGACGGUAAUGGGUAAAGAAGCACCGGCUAACUACGUG